CGCGGGUUUAGUCUCCGCUUAGAUAGUGCGAAAUUAACGUGUAAUAUUUCACUGAACGCUCUCAAACGUUGCAGGAAUAUUGUUUCCAUCGCGUAGUUUCGACUAUUCUUUCGAAAAGUGUCAGUGAUCGUAAAAUCGAACGCGAUAUCGCGAAUUUGUGAUCGACGAGGGUCGCUCGUCUCUCGUAGAAUUAUUGGCGUUCCUAUUUCGUGUCGCCCUCUGUUGUCUAGAAAAUCUACCUUCGGCACGACGUUCACCCUGAAAGUAUCGAAUGAACAUACAUAUUUACGAAGGAAUCUGGCAAACUGUGAUUACGUGGCACGCUGUGAUCCAUGGAGAGUCUUAACCUCGGCUUUGAUCGCCCUUACAACAAGCAACAGGUCGUACCAGGACAAAGGCCUGGCGUUCGGCGGAGGUUUCCGUGGAUCGAGGAACAAGCGCCGACAAACGUGUGGAGACCACUUCAGACCAGUUUCCGCAUAGUAGUUACGCAGUCCAGAGUACCGUCGGCCUCCAACCCCCGAAACGAGGCCACCGCCAAGCCUUAAGUGGGCCAGGUAAACGGGGAAGGACCGUGGAAGUUAUUACGGGAGCGACACUAGCGCCGCCCUCGCGAUGUCUGCUGCUUGAUCCACUUCUACAGGCAGCCACGUGUUCUGGCUUCUAGUUCGGUCGCACACGAUGUAUAGUAAAGAUUGGAUAAGUGCAAGACAGGAUUCACUGGAUAAAUGCAAGACGACUCGGCGAGUGAGUAAUAUGACACUAACCGAUUUAUACGCUUCUGACGACUACUUCCUUUCCUCUGAGCUCUUUCUGUUUCACUCUCUGUCCUUUUCUACGUAUGACUAGAGUCAAAUGUAAACACGGAAUAGAAACCUCGACUGGAUAACCGCAAUGUUUGGGUCACGACUUUUGUACAUUUCAUCUGACAACAUACAUUCGAAAAAACUUUCCUAACAUGGUACACACUUCGCCGCAGAAACAAAAUCAUCCGAUUUAUUUGGAUGGACUCUUCAGUCACGGAAAUAUUGUUCAAUUUACGAAUGUUGUAGUUUCAAGUAGAAAAUUCCGGAGCAACGUAAAUCGAACUCGUUAACGAGUCAACGUAUACAAAUUUAUCUUGAGCCCACAGGUGAGCAAAUGUAAACGCUCAACAAAUCAAAUAAUUUUAUUUCGA
Long non-coding RNA from Hylaeus volcanicus, 1177 nucleotides. RefSeq lists it as uncharacterized. Lineage: Eukaryota; Metazoa; Arthropoda; Insecta; Hymenoptera; Colletidae. The record is from RefSeq and is a predicted model, not a curated record. The transcript is spliced from 5 exons.